This 1212-nucleotide long non-coding RNA is filed under the name Felis catus (domestic cat). RNAcentral describes it as "lncRNA (ENSFCAG00000049718.1)". The record is from RNAcentral. Lineage: Eukaryota; Metazoa; Chordata; Mammalia; Carnivora; Felidae.
CUUCCUUCCUUCCGUCCUUCCUCCUUCCCUCCUUCCUCCUUCCCCCCUCCCUCCCUCCCUUCUUCCUUCCUUCCUCCUUCCCUCCCUCCCUCCUUCCUUCUUCCUUCCUUCCUCCUUCCUCCCUCCUUCCUUCCCUCCCCCUUUCCCUCCCUCCCUCCUUCCUCCCUCCUUCCUUCCUUCCUUCCUCCUUCCUUCCCUCCCCCUUUCCCUCCCUCCCUCCUUCCUUCCUUCUCCUUCCUUCCUUCCUCCUUCCUUCUUCCUUCCUUCCUCCUUCCUCCCUCCCUCCUUCCCUCCUUCCCACCCUUCCUUCCUCCUUCCUUCCCUCCCCCUUUCCCUCCCUCCCUCCUUCCUCCCUUCUUCCUUCCUUCCUCCUUCCUCCCUCCCUCCUUCCUUCCUUCCUCCUUCCUUCUUCCUUCCUUCCUCCUUCCUCCCUCCUUCCCUCCUUCCCACCCUUCCUUCCUCCUUCCUUCCCUCCCCCUUUCCCUCCCUCCCUCCUUCCUCCCUUCUUCCUUCCUUCCUUCCUUCCUUCCUUCCUUCCUUCCUUCCUUCAUCUGCAUUUACUGAGCAAGUGCCCAUAUGAGGCCCUGGGGACACCAGGGAGCAGGAAGUUCCCGUCCCAAGACCUCCCACGAGAACACAACAAGAAAAUGGCGGUGGUGGGGGCAGGUGCAGAAUGCAGGGGGACCCUCGAGAGACUCAGGGGAGGUUUCCCAGGAGGGCUGGACGUGAAGGAUGAGGAAGGGCUUUCCAGGCAGAGGGAACGGCGCCUGCGAAGGCACAGUGGCAGGAAGCACCUGCCUGGGAACCGCUGGCAGACCUUCAUUGUGGGAAGGCAGGGUCUGGAGCAUCUUGGUUUAGGAGGUCGGCCAGCUGGGCUGGGGUCCCCUGACUCACUUCCUGGACCCUGUGCCUCUUUGACCUCCUUUGCUCCGGGCCCGUCUGGAUGAAAGUAGCACUGGCCUCCGUUGCACAAAGGGAGGCUUUGACGUUGGAGAAAGGGAGUGAGGAAGGAGGGGCGAGUGGUGUGUGUGUAUUUUUGGAUGCAGCUCAGGAAUCCACUCCUCAUUCUCCUCCUCCGACACCAUGGCAACCAGGCCUGCAGCUGGGGGGAGCUGCCUGAGAGGGAGGGAGAGAGAGAGAGAGGGAGAGAGAGAGCGAGAGAGCGAGCUAGCCGCUUAGCUGAGGGAGUGGGCUGGGGCACAGACCUCUGGC